RNAcentral lists this non-coding RNA (197 nucleotides) under Pan troglodytes (chimpanzee). Lineage: Eukaryota; Metazoa; Chordata; Mammalia; Primates; Hominidae. The record is from RNAcentral.
GGCCGGGAGUGAGGAGGAUAUGGGAGCAUCCUCCAGAAAAGCAGAAGAAAGGGCUCCAGCAACCAUGGAUAAUGAGAUUACCAAGCUCUUCUGGGAAGACAAUGAUGUGUUCCAACAAUGGCCCAUUCCACAUGCUUUCUUUAUAUGAGUGACACUCCUCUUUAUCCACAAGUGAGAUCUAUGUACCUCUCCUUUGA